UCCUCGGUAGUAUAGUGGUGAGUAUCCGCGUCUGUCACAUGGGAGACCCGGGUUCAAUUCUCGGCCGCGGAG
This 72-nucleotide transfer RNA is filed under the name Nippostrongylus brasiliensis. It matches the Rfam family "tRNA". From Rfam's summary of the family: Transfer RNA (tRNA) molecules are approximately 80 nucleotides in length. Their secondary structure includes four short double-helical elements and three loops (D, anti-codon, and T loops). The record is from Rfam by way of RNAcentral. Lineage: Eukaryota; Metazoa; Nematoda; Chromadorea; Rhabditida; Heligmosomidae.